Molecule: long non-coding RNA, 2076 nt
Organism: Oreochromis niloticus (Nile tilapia)
Lineage: Eukaryota; Metazoa; Chordata; Actinopteri; Cichliformes; Cichlidae
Exons: 3
Source: RefSeq, a predicted model, not a curated record
AAACAGUUUUGCGGCAGUUUUAUGACCGUUUUGGUUUUUUUAAGUUAUUGGCCAAUUCAGAAUGUGACGUAAAGGACCAACGGCACACGGCUUUGCACACACUUGAAUGUUUGUUUAUACUGUUUUUAGCGACUCUGGUUAGGCGGCUUUACAGCUUCCUCUCUGCAGUUCAGUACACCCGUCUCUGCUGUCAGGUCCUGGCUUCAAACAGGACACCACCUCUGCCCUGCUGCUGAGCCACAAACCACACCCGCCACAUAGAACUUGGUAAUAGGUCGAUGUGUAAAGUGUGAAAAACAAAAACAAAGAAACUGAGACGCAGAGGAAAAGAGACCACUGUUUUUGGAGACCUUUUUUCUCUUACAUCAUCUCACUGACUGGAUUCUGUCAUAUUAGAGGAGAGGAAAAUCCCAAAUGUAAGCAGAGGAGAAUAGAGAAAGUGCAAAGCCCAUCUCUAUUCUCACCUCCACACCUGGAAUGUUUGAUGGAGAAGAAGACGAGAGACGGCUUUACUCCAGGAAGCGUUCAAGAAGGCGAAAUCGUCAAACUCUGCACUGGAGGAGGCCUUGGAAAUGGAAACAGCAGCCAGGGCAGCUGUGGUGGAAGCAUUGCAAAGUGAAAAAUCAUCCACGACUGAAAGCCGACAAGCAGGACCUCCCUGUUUCUGAUCUUUGGGCCAAACUUCAGGAACGAGAACUGGGGUCGCAGUCCUCCGAAGUCAGGGUGGAAGUACUCACAUCUGAGCUCGAAAGCUGUGAGAGAGCAAGGAAGCAACUCAGGAAGAGCUUAGCGGACUGUGAGAGGAGGCUGAAAGAGCAGGGAAUCUAAUCUGGUUUUGCUGAGAGCAAAGGAUACGUGUGAAGAGUGAACUACUGCACAGCUGAAGUGAAUUCCUUCUGUUGCUGCUUCUGAAGAAAAGCAAGAGCGUCAGAGGAGCUGUGCAGAUAGGAGCAGCUGGUGAAAGAAGGCCUGUGGACACACAACACUAAAGGCCUGUUUACUAUAAAGGAAUGCGGUUAGCAGUUGUCAGGGUGACUGGCCGGCCAUGAAGCGAGGUCUCGGAAACAAACAGGAAGUAAAAAGAGAACUGAGAACUGCAACUGAAACUGAAAGGGCAGUUAGUGCUCUGGUUCAACUGAAUGAGCUGUGUGUGUAAAACAAAGCAAACAUCUGCUGCUCUGACAAAAAAGUCUAAACCACAAACACACAGAGUAUUUUCCACUCAGAACACACACUCUGCCUGUUACUCGCAUGCAGUCAUUGCAUGUCCUUACUUGCACAAGUCAGCAGCAAAGCUUUCUUAUCUCAGAAGCUGCGCUCGGAGCCAACUUUGGCUCUGCCUUUUUUUCAGUCACUGAGGAAAGUCCUCACUUUCAGAGGACUUUGUUUUUACUGGACGCUCUUAUCUUAACAGCAUUAAAUAUUUACAGGGCCUGUGUCUGGGAAGCUGUAAAAACUGGACUCUGAGCUCUGUGAUAAACUUUCACCAGUUUAAAUUUCUUUCACAAGUCAUGAAUGAGGCCAAACAGCCUAUAUAAAUACAAAAAAAGUCUUUAUUCAGAUUUACAUGGUGAUUCACAUGAAGUCGUAAUGUACAGAGAAGAAACAGUGGUGACAGGUUGUGGUAAAAGCCUCUUGGCUGCAUUGCAAGAAGCAGAACAAUGAUCUGGGGUUGUUUUUUUUUUUUUUUUUCCUUUCUUUGUCUCGUUUGAACUGACUGUUGCCCUUUAUGGUAAUAAGCUAAGUGCAAAAGAAUAAGACACACCUCUGCUCCGAGUUAUCAGUGGCUCUGAAUCACAUGAAAGCAUAAAAAUAAACAAACGAAAAGAUGAGUAAAACGCACAAUACCAUGCCAACACUCACAGCUGACAUUUUGGUUGUAAUGACAUUGCGAGAGCAGAAAUAAACGUGACAGAAAAGUGCACUUUGGGUACUUAAACCUGGUCAGGUUGUUGUUUUUGUUUUGUUUUUUUGUUAAGGCAAUACAGAAAAGGGAAGUGAUGUCAGACCAGAAGACAAACUGGAGCUAGAGAAUGGAAAGAUCACUAUAAAAACAGCAGUCCAGUUAAUAUGGCA